Molecule: ribosomal RNA, 253 nt
Filed under: uncultured bacterium
Lineage: Bacteria
Description: partial 16S ribosomal RNA
Rfam family: Bacterial small subunit ribosomal RNA
Source: RNAcentral
UACGAAGGGGGCUAGCGUUGCUCGGAAUCAUUGGGCGUAAAGGGCGCGUAGGUGGCCCGGUCAGUCCGUGGUGAAAGCGCGGGGCUCAACCCCGCGUCGGCCAUGGAUACUGCUGGGCUUGAGCACUGUAGAGGCAGGCGGAAUUCCGGGUGUAGCGGUGGAAUGCGUAGAGAUCCGGAAGAACACCGGUGGCGAAGGCGGCCUGCUGGGCAGUAGCUGACACUGAGGCGCGACAGCGUGGGGAGCAAACAGG